Non-coding RNA from Jatropha curcas, 1444 nucleotides. Lineage: Eukaryota; Viridiplantae; Streptophyta; Magnoliopsida; Malpighiales; Euphorbiaceae. The record is from RefSeq and is a predicted model, not a curated record.
UUUUUUUUUUUUUGAUUUCAUUUCUUUUUGUCUUACUCUGUUACAAAAUUGAAGGAAUUUGUUCAAAAUGUUUUGACAAUCCAUUAGUAAAGGGUGACUUGUUCUUCUUGCAAUAUGAAUGGUGAUGGGCUGAUAGUUAUUUCGCAUUGUGGAUUUUGAAGCUGUUUCGUAAAACAAAAUAACAGUCUUUGGUGUGGAGUAUUAUGAGUGCUUUGUCAGUUGGAGGUAAUUUGCACUGGCCUUUCUUGGUGAUUUUGCUUGAAAGAUUAUUUUAACAGUACUGGGAUGGGAAAGAACAAUGAUGAAUAAUAAUGCUUGUCUAUACUUAUUAGAAGAUCCGUUUAGGAGAAUAAUACCCACCUUGUUCUUUAGUUUCUUGCUUGUUUUACGUAGUUAUUUUAGAUUUGCUGUCGCAUGUUCUUUAGGGUUUCACUAUAAUUUUAGUUUGUGGCAGUUGGCAACUUUUUCUUUGCCCUUCUCCCAUAUUAGUAUCUGCUACGAAUUGUAUUGCCAGAUAAAGCAAGUGGAUGUUGUUGUGGCCAGUCCUGUAUAAUGUUGUAAUGCAUACAUUUAUGUACAUAAUUACAUAUUCGGCUAUUCGCUUUCACUGUAGUUCCUUGCUAGUGUAUUGAUUUAAAAUUGUGGAGUCUAACUGAAGCCCCAAGUAUGCUUAUCAAUAACUUGUCCUUCUUGUUUCCUGCAUUGUUGUUUGUAAUUAAUCUUAAGGUACUUGUUGAGACUUCAGAAACAAGAUGACUGCUAAUUCUUCUGCUCGGUAAUGAUUCAUAUUUCUAGUACCUUAUUUUUCCGAUGUAAUUGUGCCUGUCAGAUAGCAACAGAUAAGGUGCAAGCAUCAACAUAUCAAUGGCUAGGAGAGAGCAAGGGAGGUUCCACCUAUUUGCAGAAGAACAAGUGACAGAGCUUUCUUGAGCAGUAAUAUGAUAUAACAGACAUGCAUUUGUGCACGUCGGAGUUAAAAGGAUUUGUAUAUGACGAAUGGAGAGAGCACAAAUUUACCAAAUGCUCUGACUACUAGGAUUUGAAGGUUGCAUUGUGAAAGAUAUAUUCAAGUCCAACAAGGAACAUAAGCUCCUAGCAAUUGAGAAGGAUCUCUUACAGGUAGCAUCUGGCAUUUUUUUUGCUAGUUCUUUGUCCAGUGCCAAUGGUACCAGAAGUCCAUUUCCAGAUGAAAAUUGUACCAAAGGCCAGCUGAGAUGCAGCAGGAUUUUGCAUACAAUAAAUGAAAAAGUGUAACAUCUUCAUCAAUUAGUGGGUAAUCAUACUGGUUGCAGAAAAUGUAAUGCUUUAUUAACUAUUGGUGCACCAUUAAGAGCCUGUGUUGGCAUCGAGUGUAGAGCUACAUUUUUGUAAAAAUAUUGUUCUGAUGUUGUUGGAAAUAAGAGGUCUUUGCACGAACUUUAUGCAUGCCUAGAAGGCAAGAAAA